CGGCCACAUAAUGUUAAAACACUGGUUCCCAUAUGAUCACUAAAGUUAAGCAAUGUCAAGCCAGGUCAGUAUCUAGAUGGGUGACCACUUGAGUAUACCAGCUGCUGGAA
This is a non-coding RNA of Acanthosepion pharaonis, 110 nucleotides long. The record is from the annotation of a GenBank genome assembly. Lineage: Eukaryota; Metazoa; Mollusca; Cephalopoda; Sepiida; Sepiidae.